AACGAACGCUGGCGGCAUGCCUAACACAUGCAAGUCGAACGAGACCUUCGGGUCUAGUGGCGCACGGGUGCGUAACGCGUGGGAACCUGCCCUUAGGUUCGGAAUAACUCCCCGAAAGGGGUGCUAAUACCGGAUAAUGUCUUCGGACCAAAGAUUUAUCGCCUUUGGAUGGGCCCGCGUUGGAUUAGCUAGUUGGUAGGGUAAAAGCCUACCAAGGCGACGAUCCAUAGCUGGUCUGAGAGGAUGAUCAGCCACACUGGGACUGAGACACGGCCCAGACUCCUCCGGGAGGCAGCAGUGGGUAAUAUUGGACAAUGGGCGAAAGCCUGAUCGAGCAAGGCCGCGUGAGUGAUGAAGGCCUUAGGGUUGUAAAGCUCUUUUAACCGGGAUGAUAAUGACAGUACCGGGAGAAUAAGCCCCGGCUAACUACGUG
This 433-nucleotide ribosomal RNA is filed under the name uncultured bacterium. Its description in RNAcentral is "partial 16S ribosomal RNA". It matches the Rfam family "Bacterial small subunit ribosomal RNA", at positions 29 to 507 of the family's 1533-position model. The record is from RNAcentral.